RNAcentral lists this ribosomal RNA (492 nucleotides) under uncultured bacterium. RNAcentral's name for it is "partial 16S ribosomal RNA". It matches the Rfam family "Bacterial small subunit ribosomal RNA", at positions 29 to 507 of the family's 1533-position model. The record is from RNAcentral.
AGUGAACGCUGGCGGUAGGCCUAACACAUGCAAGUCGAACGGCAGCACAGUAAGAGCUUGCUCUUACGGGUGGCGAGUGGCGGACGGGUGAGGAAUACAUCGGAAUCUACUUUUUCGUGGGGGAUAACAUAGGGAAACUUACGCUAAUACCGCAUACGACCUACGGGUGAAAGCAGGGGAUCUUCGGACCUUGCGCGAGUGAAUGAGCCGAUGUCGGAUUAGCUAGUUGGCGGGGUAAAGGCCCACCAAGGCGACGAUUCGUAGCUGGUCUGAGAGGAUGAUCAGCCACACUGGAACUGAGACACGGUCCAGACUCCUACGGGAGGCAGCAGUGGGGAAUAUUGGACAAUGGGCGCAAGCCUGAUCCAGCCAUACCGCGUGGGUGAAGAAGGCCUUCGGGUUGUAAAGCCCUUUUGUUGGGAAAGAAAAGCAGCAGGUUAAUACCCCGCUGUUCUGACGGUACCCAAAGAAUAAGCACCGGCUAACUUCGUG